RNAcentral lists this long non-coding RNA (231 nucleotides) under Elaeis guineensis (African oil palm). Its description in RNAcentral is "long non-coding RNA (EGUI_LNC019013)". The record is from RNAcentral. Lineage: Eukaryota; Viridiplantae; Streptophyta; Magnoliopsida; Arecales; Arecaceae.
CAUGACAGCGGUGACCUUGGCAGUUUCUAGUUUAUCCUCAUAUUUUUUCUUCUCGACCGAAAGUCGAGCUUCAGAUUUAGCCCGGGCUUUGGAAAGCUCGGACUCCAGUCACUUUAGCUCCUUCUUCAGUGACCUGGCCUCUUCCUCGGCCUUGAGCUUCUCAAGUUGGACGUUAUCCAUCCUUUUGCUGGCCUAGCUGGCCUUCUCCUUGACUUUUCUUGAGAUACGUCG